UACGGAAGACAGCAGUGGGGAAUAUUGCACAAUGGGCGAAAGCCUGAUGCAGCUAUGCCGCGUGUAUGAAGAAGGCCUUAGGGUUGUAAAGUACUUUCAUCGGGGAGGAAAAAACAAAACUAAUAAUUUUAUUUCUUGACGUUACCCGAAAAAGAAGCACCGGCUAACUCCGUGCCAGCAGCCGCGGUAAUACGGAGGGUGCUAGCGUUAAUCAGAAUUACUGGGCGUAAAGAGCACGUAGGUGGUUUUUUUAAGUCAGAUGUGAAAUCCCUGGGCUUAACCUAGGAACUGCAUUUUGAAACUGAAAUACUAGAGUAUCGUAGAGGGAGGUAGAAUUCUAGGUGUAGCGGUGAAAUGCGUAGAUAUCUGGAGGAAUACCUGUGGCGAAAGCGGCCUCCUAAACGAAUACUGACACUGAGGUGCGAAAGCGUGGGGAGCAAACAGGGAUUAGAUACC
Molecule: ribosomal RNA, 456 nt
Filed under: uncultured bacterium
Lineage: Bacteria
Description: bacterial SSU rRNA
Rfam family: Bacterial small subunit ribosomal RNA
Source: RNAcentral